GACUGACACGUUGCCAUGGGCAGUGACAAGAGAUGAUGCUGGGGGAUGCAGUGAACCUGGCCACUUUGAUCCUGUCCACCUCCUCAUCCUACCCUGGCAGCAAGCACUGUGUCUGGGGACGGAAACGCCUGCUGGAAUCUGCUCUCUCCGCUAAGCCUUGCUCAGGUACCUGGCCAAGGCACAUCAGUGUCUACCUGGAGGAAAGGAAUCCAGCUGCGGGAGAAGAAAAGGGCAGUAAAUCAGUCAGCACCCAGCCAGGAGAGCAUAAAUUUAACAGUUCUGACCGUGUGAAAUCAUUCUGCACCCAAACAAAAGGCAGCUUCGGUGUCUAUUCAUCUCCCCUAGACGGGGUCAUGCUCAGGGGCUGCCUGCCUCUGGCUCUGUGGUGACGGCACGAUCAAAAGCUGUAUUGCUAAAAUACGGAUCACCGUGGUGUGCACCUCUACGAGCACGGAGCUAAGCAGCUGGAUGUCAUGGUUUAUACUGCUAGAUCCAAAUCGUGGAUCAGACUAAACACUGCCUCUGCCACCAUCAAUGAAUCACUUCUAGAUCCCCAGGAAGUUGCCAGGGCUUGAGCUUCAGAAGUUUGCUGCCGCAGGACACUAAAAUACUGUGGAAGACAAAGCAAGGUGUGGCAGGUUUUGUGGGGAUUAUCCUGCCCUGCGCUGGGCUGGGGCUGGAGGUAGAUGAAAGCUGGGG
Molecule: long non-coding RNA, 699 nt
Organism: Pogoniulus pusillus (Red-fronted tinkerbird)
Lineage: Eukaryota; Metazoa; Chordata; Aves; Piciformes; Lybiidae
Exons: 3
Source: RefSeq, a predicted model, not a curated record